CUUCCUCCUCUAGAUAUCCUCUUUCUUUGGAGCAUCCAAGGUGUUUGAAGAAGGAAGAAAUCAGCCUCCGAGUUCCUUGCAACCUAGCACUUCCAAGGGCCCUGAUCUUCGUUGGUCUUCACAUAGACUUUCUAUAGAGGCUGGAUGACUUUGUGUGGCUACAAUCAAUCUGAAAGAGAGCCUCUCCAAGCAUUGAACUAGAAGAGAUCAAGAGACUUCAGUUUGGUAAUGAUUUCUAAACUUUCUUGAUCUUGUAUGUUGGAUU
Molecule: long non-coding RNA, 265 nt
Filed under: Elaeis guineensis (African oil palm)
Lineage: Eukaryota; Viridiplantae; Streptophyta; Magnoliopsida; Arecales; Arecaceae
Description: long non-coding RNA (EGUI_LNC043787)
Source: RNAcentral